Molecule: long non-coding RNA, 1914 nt
Organism: Loxodonta africana (African savanna elephant)
Lineage: Eukaryota; Metazoa; Chordata; Mammalia; Proboscidea; Elephantidae
Exons: 5
Source: RefSeq, a predicted model, not a curated record
UGGUUUUAAUCAGUCAGGAAAGGACAUAACUAGACCAACAGGAAUAAAUUAAAUGAAGGAAUCAAAUACCAGGCAAACAGGACAUCAGCAAAAGGAGGUAGGGGCUGCAGGGCCUGUGGCUACAUGGGAGGCUAGUGCCAACAAGGAAAUAGCAAUGGGGAGCAUGGAGAGUGCCCGGUGACCGAUGUGGGAAAAACAAUGGUCUAAGGAGCCCUGGUGGUGCAGUGGUUAAGCACUCAGCUCCUAGCCGAAAGGUUGGCGGUUGAAACCCACCCAGUGGCUCUGUGGGAGAAAAGACCUGAUAGUCUGCUUCCAUAAAGAUUACAGCCUAGGAAAUCCUAUGCGAUAGUUCUACUCUGUCACAUGGGAAUGCUAUGAGUCGAAAACUGACAUGGCACCCAACAACAACAACAACAACAACAGGACUGAAAGACCUGGGCUGAAACCCCACUAAGUACUUCCCACGGAUCAUGUGACUCAGAUGAAAGCCAGCGAGAGGACAGUUCCUCAGUUCCUCCCUGGGGUUGGGGUCAGAGGAGGACUGGGAGCACACUGGACACACUGUAAAAUGCCAUGAUAUUUCCCUGGAUUCUUCUUGCAACUUUUCUGUAAGCUUGCAAUUUUAUCAAAAAGCUACAGAAAGAAAUCUUAAUGCUGUAACGAAUGAUUCCUGGUCUCAUUCAUGAAGGAUUAUCUGCCAUGUAAGCUGCUCAACUGCUAUAAACAACCAGAAAACCUACAGGAAACAUGUCUUUCAGACACUGGAUGAAAGCGAGUAGGGAGGUGGCAGGAAGAAAUUCACAACUCACGGUGCAUAAGAAGGAAGAGUGCCUCCCUCAGAGACGUGGCCCGUGAAGCUCCUCUGCUGUUGGCAAAGCCAGACGCCAGGCCCUCCUCCACCCUAUACACAGCUCCCAGACCUCACGGCUCACAACCGGGGGCCUGUGGCGAGCGCCGGCCAAGCACUCCUCUCUGAGUACUUCGUGAUGCCGGAAAAAGAAGAAGGAAGAGAGAGAGAGAUACUACCCUACUACCCUACGCCCUGGUCCGUAGCAUCAACGUGGGUUGAACAGCAACGGAAUCGGCCAGGAGCCCGGGCAAAAGGACAGCACCUUUAUGUUCUGAUGGCCGGCACCGUCCUCAGUACCGGGAUCCAGGAAGACCAGAGAAAAUCAAGAUCUCUUUCCGAGGGGGCUUCCCUCCAGCAGGGGAGACAAGAAUGGCAGGGUGUCCCUGUGGAUUGGAGGUGCAGUGAGGUGAGCUCCAUAGGCCGGCUCGUGGAUCUUAUUGGCAAACUGUAGUCAGGGCGAGAUUCAGCCCACUGCUGCCUGCUGCUAUACAGCCCAUAAGCCAAGCGCAGUGUCCACAUUUUCAAGUGCUUUGAAAAAAAUCUAUAGAAGAAUACUAUUUAGUGACUAGAAAAUUAUACGGAAUUCAAAUCUCAGUGUCCAUGAAAAAGCUUUAUUGGAACAUGCUGUGUAUGUCUGUUUACGUGUUGUGUGUGGCUGCUCUUGAGCUCCAGCAGCAAAGCUGAGCGGGUGGGACAGACACCGCACCACCCGUGAAGCCAAAAUGUUUACUUUUACAGAUGGGCCGGCCGACCCCUCAGCUUCAGUGCACAGGAACUGGCGGGAGAGGGGUGCACGGGUAGAGCUGACCUGGUGGAGACAGGUGGGGAGUUACUCACAGGAGCUGGGACAGGGCCAGGGAAGAAAUGAGUAACGGAAACAGGAUACUACAAAUUUCUAUUAUUUAAACCACUUUUUUCAUCAUAGACAUUAGAUUCAUACAGACAUAUGGCUUCAAAAGACUCUUGUGGGCUAGCUUGGGAAUGCAGCCACUGUAUGUAACAUUUAUUCUACAAAAAACAUAUGUUCUAGUGCAACACAAACACAAAGGAGCGUGCGGAAACUA